RNAcentral lists this long non-coding RNA (734 nucleotides) under Homo sapiens (human). RNAcentral describes it as "HSALNT0373637". The record is from RNAcentral. Lineage: Eukaryota; Metazoa; Chordata; Mammalia; Primates; Hominidae.
AUCAGUUCUCUGCAAAAUGGAACAAUCAGUUCUCUGCAAAAUGGAACAAUCAGCUCUCUGUAAAAUGGACCAAUCAGCAGGAUGUGGGUGGGGCCAGAUAAGGGAAUAAAACCAGGGCACUUGAGCCAGCAGCAGCAACCUGCUCAGGUGCCCUUCCACCUUGUUCUUCUGCUCUUUGCAAUAAAUUUUACUGCUGCUCAUUCUUUGGGUCCGCACUGCCUUUAUGAGGUAUAACACCGUGAAGGUUGGCAGCCUCACUUCUAAAGCCAGCGAGACCACAAACCCACCAGGAGGGACAAACAACUCUGGACGUGCCACUUUAUGAACUGUAACAGUCAGUGCAAAGGUCUGCAGCUUCACUCCUGAGGCUAGCGAGACCAGGAACCCACCAGAAGGGACAAACAACUCCAGACGCCUCACCUUAAAAGCUGUAACACUUACAGUGAAGCUCUGCAGCUUCACUCAAACCCAGCGAGACCACGAACCCACCAGAAGGAAGAAACUCCGAACACGUCCGAACAUCACAAGGAACAAACUCCAGAUACCAUCUUUAAGAACUGUAACACUCACUGCAAGUUAAAAGAAGAAAACUGUACUGAAGAAAGUAACCAAUAGUCCAUUAGUAAAUCGGGUGAUAAAAUGUUUGAAGUGAAGAACCAAAGUUGGCCUGGAAAUAAAUAUACAUUUUUAAAUACAGAACUUGACAUUGUAAUGUGCUCCUGUGAAUUAUUGGU